This 68-nucleotide non-coding RNA is filed under the name unclassified sequences. The record is from RNAcentral.
ACCGCUUAUGUUGACGGCCUUCGCGUGGCGAGCGGUGAACAACAGCCUGACGGCUGGCUAACGUCAAC